RNAcentral lists this non-coding RNA (29 nucleotides) under Mus musculus (house mouse). The record is from RNAcentral. Lineage: Eukaryota; Metazoa; Chordata; Mammalia; Rodentia; Muridae.
UNGGACUUGAGUUUGGACACUACAUCCUG